AUGAUCUUGCACAGUAUCGAUCCUGUGUUAGGGUGAGCAGCACUCCCUCACCUCUGAGCUACCUGUGCCAUGCAACAGGAAGGUUGGAUAAUUGAUCACAGCCUGAAGAUCAAGCUGUGGUGGGAUGGAAAACUUGGCAGAGGGCAAGGAUCAUGUGUGAGAACAGCUUGUUCCAAUAGCUGCCCUUGAUUACAGGGCACACAGGUGUAGCACAGGUUUGCUUAAAUAUAUCCUGGUGUGCAACCAAGCAGGAGCUUUUGGUGGCUGGUUCUUCAGGCUGGUGGGUACAGAGUACCCCAGAAAGAGUUGACAUCGUGCAAGGAAGGACUUGAUGCCUUCAAAAUGCAGACUGUAAUGAAAACACUUCCUUAGGCAAGAAAAAAGCUUCAAAGAUGAUGUGACAGCUUGGAGCAAAACAAGUGGGGAUCCCAAGCCUGCAGACCUGAAGAGCAUCGUGCGUUGAGUUUGAGGUGUAGAGACCUGCUGCUGCUCCUGACCUUCUGCAGGCUGGUGCUGGCUGACCUGCCCACUGCUGCGCUCUGCAGGGACAACGCUGGUGUCCUCACUGCUCCUCUGCUCCAGGACUGAACAGCCAAAGCCCAGCUCACCUUAUCAGAGCCAUCGUUUGUGAAGUGAUUUCCUCAAAAAAAGCCUGAUUGUGAGUGGAAAACUUCCUGCACGUAAUGGGAAGGUGCCUGAGCAUUUUACUGACCUGAGAUUGCAUCCAGAUGCUUUUGCAAGGAUCCAGGCUAAAAGGCUUUCCUUCUGUCUUUUCCAAUGAGACUUCAGUUCCGAGGCUUAUGUCAUAUAUACAUGUAACCUGCAGCACCCUUCCUUACCAUGAAUGCAGAUCAACAGACCUUGGUUGUUGUGGGCUGUACAGCAAGGGGCACGUCCCACAGGCCGGUCCCUGCCAACGUUCUUCUCUGCACAGCACCAAAAGGAAAAGAACUGUGCAUGAAGUUCUCUGAAACAUCUCCAGCUUUGCCUUCCAAAGAUUCACAAGAGAUUCAGGCACAGUGACAGUGAAAAAUAUUGAUGUAUCGACAGCCUGGGAGCCCGCUUGCUCCGUUGCCCAAAGCGUGAGAGAUCCCAACAGGAUCCCACAGCAGCUCCCCUCCUCGCAGUCCAGGACUGGUUUCAAGUCUGCAGAUGCUGAAGGUAAGUCUUGCUCUGAGCUUUACUGCCUGGCGCCAGCGCUUGCACUGCUCUGCUACUUCCUGUCACCCAGACCA
Numida meleagris (helmeted guineafowl) is the source of this 1235-nucleotide long non-coding RNA. RefSeq lists it as uncharacterized. The record is from RefSeq and is a predicted model, not a curated record. Lineage: Eukaryota; Metazoa; Chordata; Aves; Galliformes; Numididae. The transcript has 7 exons.